RNAcentral lists this transfer RNA (73 nucleotides) under Stegodyphus mimosarum. It matches the Rfam family "tRNA". Rfam says of the family: Transfer RNA (tRNA) molecules are approximately 80 nucleotides in length. Their secondary structure includes four short double-helical elements and three loops (D, anti-codon, and T loops). The record is from Rfam by way of RNAcentral. Lineage: Eukaryota; Metazoa; Arthropoda; Arachnida; Araneae; Eresidae.
GCCUUCGUGGUACAGUGGUCAGCACGUUCGACGCCUAACCGAGGGGUCCGUGGUUCGAUUCCCAGCGAAGGCG